UAUAUUUGCACCCUGUUUGAAAACCAAUCAGAUACAUAAAAAUCAUUAAACCAAUAUUGGCAUG
Molecule: non-coding RNA, 64 nt
Filed under: unclassified sequences
Also listed under: 1 other name
Description: S15-Flavobacteria ribosomal protein leader
Rfam family: S15-Flavobacteria ribosomal protein leader
Source: RNAcentral